AGAGUUUGAUCCUGGCUCAGAAUGAACGCUGGCGGCGUGCCUAACACAUGCAAGUCGGAUGUGCCGCAAGGUGCAUGGCAGACGGGUGAGUAACGCGCGGGGAAUCUACCUCUUUGUGGGGAAUAACGCUCCGAAAGGAGUGGUAAUACCGCAUGAGACCUUCGGCUGGGAUGCUGGAGGUGAAACCUGGGGACCGCAAGGCCUGGGGCAAGGAGAGGAUCCUGCGUCUGAUUAGCUAGUUGGCGGGGUAAUGGCCCACCAAGGCGACGAUCAGUAGCCGGCCUGAGAGGGUGAUCGGCCACACUGGAACUGAGACACGGUCCAGACUCCUACGGGAGGCAGCAGUGGGGAAUUUUGCGCAAUGGACGAGAGUCUGACGCAGCAACGCCGCGUGGGUGAUGAAGGUCUUCGGACUGUAAAACCCUGUCGUCAGGGACGAAGGUG
This 444-nucleotide ribosomal RNA is filed under the name uncultured bacterium. Its description in RNAcentral is "bacterial SSU rRNA". It matches the Rfam family "Bacterial small subunit ribosomal RNA", at positions 8 to 453 of the family's 1533-position model. The record is from RNAcentral.